AUUUCAAAUGAAUUUUCAAAUUGCUCUUUCUAACUCUAUGAAGCAGUGAGUUGGAAUUGUGAUAGCGAUUGCCUUGAAUAUGUUGAUUGCUUUUGCCAAGUUUGCCAUUUUUGCAAUAUUAACUCUACCAAUCCAUAAGCAUGGAAAAUCUUUCCAUCUGAGAUUUUCUUCAUUUUUUUUUCUUCACAGAGUUGAAGUUCUUGUCAUAAAGACCUUUUACUUGCUUGGUUAGAGUCACACUGAGGUAUUUUUUAUUAUUUGUGACUAAUGUGAAAAUUGUCAUAUCCCUAAUUUCUUCUCAACCUGUUUAUCCUUGAAGUAGAGGAAGCGUAAUGAUUUGUUUGAGUUAAUUUUAUAUCCAGCCAUUUUACAGAAGUUGUUUAUUGGCUGAAGGAGUUCUCUGGUUGAAUUUUUGGGGUCACUAAAAUAUACUAUCAUAUCAUAUACAAAUCAUGAUAUUUUGACUUCUUGAAUUCCCUUUAUCUCCUUUGGUUGUCUAAUUUCUGUGAAUAAGAUUUCUAGUGCUAUAUUAAAGAAGUAAGUGGAGAUUGGGCAACCUUUUCUAUUCCCAGAUAUUUGUUGAAUUGCUUCAAGGUUCUCUCCAUUUAUGUUGAUGUUGGGUACUCUUUUUGUAAUAUUGUUUUUACUAAGUUUAUGUAUGGACCUUGAAUUUAUAAUAUGUACCAAAUCUUUUAACAUGAAGAGGUAUUGAUUGUUUUCAUUUGUUGUCACCAUCUAACAAUGUGAUAAUUUGUUCCCCCACCCUGUGAGUUUGCUUAAAUAAUUGAUUUUUCUAUAUGCUGACCUCACAUUGAACCAUCACCAUUUUUUGAAAAUUCUGUCUUUUUUCCAUUAAAUGGUUUUAGAACAUUUGUCAAAGAUAAAGUGACCGUAGGUGUUUGCAUUUAUUUCUGGAUCUCCAGGCUUGGAUAUCUGGUAAAUUUUUCACUUACCAUGAAUGCAGAAACCAAGAUACUCCAUGACAAAGCCAAAUUUACAAAACAUCUUUCAACAAAUCUAGCCCUACAUGGGAUAGUAGAUGGACACUUCCAACACAAGAAAGGAACUACACCCUAGGAAAAAUUUGGGAAUUAAUCUUUCAACAAACCCAAAAGAUGAUAGCCACACAAAAGUAAUUCCAUUUCUAACAAUAAAAAUAGCAGGAAAGAACAAUAAAUUUUAUUUAAUAUCUCUUAUCAUCAAUGGACUUAAUUCUCCAAUAAGAAUAUAUAAACUAAGGGAUUGAAUAAAUAAAGUGGACCGAACAUUUUGCUGCAUACAGGAAAUAUACCUUAAUUAUAUAGACAGUCACUAUCUCAAGGUAAAAGGCUGGAGAGAAAUUCCAAGCAAAUGGUCCCAAGAAAUAAAACGGAAAUAGCCUUUCUUACAUUGAAUACAAUUGACUUUCAACCAAAGAUAUCAAAAAUGAUAAGGAAGGACAAAAUAAUUGUAAAAGAAAAAAUAAUACUAAGAUGAACUAUCAAUUAUGAACAACUAUGUUUCAAAUGCUAGGGCACCUAAAUUCACCAAAAGAAAAUCACUAAGCCUCAAAGAGUAUUUUGGCGCCAACACGAUAAUAGUAGGAGAUUUCAAUACCCAAGUUAAUCAAUUGACCGUUUGUGGCAACUGAAACUAAACUGACACAUUAAAAAUAACAGAAAUAAUCAUCCAAAUGGAUUUAGCAGAUAUUUAAAUAACAUUUCAUCCUAAAACUAGAGAAUAUACCUUUUUUCUUUGCACCUAAAAGUAACUUCUCCAAACUUACCAUAUACUGUGUCACUAAACAGGUCCAUAUAGAUACCAGAAUAUUGAAAUAAUCCCAUGCACCCUAUCAGAUUAUCAUGGACUAGUGCUGGUCUUCAAUACUUUCUUAUUUUUAUAUUUGUUUUUAUUAUCGAUAUUUGCUUAAUGUGGUAUUUUUGAAACACUAGCUUUCUUGAUAGUUUGGCACUAUGAAAUCUAGGUUGGGUUUAGCCUAAUAGUAAUUCUUCCAUUUUGCCUCUAUAGUAGCAAGAAUGAGAGCUCCAUUCCAUUCUUUGGUAUAUACUAUAUUUUGAGUGAACAUUUUGGGCACACAGUGCAUUUAAUGGUUUUCAUCUCUUCUUAAGUAUAUAUUAUUAUUAUCUCAUCUUAAAAAUUUGUAACUUGACAAUGACAUUUUUAAUAUCAUGUUUGUGAAUGGGUCUUUUGAUCUCAUUUUGUUUAUAUUUUAUCUCCAUUUUAAAUAGAUUUUCCUUUGUGAAUAUUUUCUGUCUUUAAGUAUGUUUGUGCCUUUAUGAGAUUUUAUUAUUGUUUAUCAAUGAAAAAAUGCAUUUUAUUUACACCAGCAGCCUUACAGGAAGGGGAACACAAGAGUUAGUUAGCUAUUUGUAUAGUAUUGGUUACUUAUUAAAAAAUAAAAAUCUCUGAAACAAAGGACAGUGAUUAAUUUCACACUAUCCUCCCCCAAUGUUCCCAGCAUACAGUAAUUCCUAGUAAUGGCCUGAGGUCAUGUGGUGUUGGGAAAUACUUUAUGGAAGAAUAAACCCACAAACCACAGAAUAUUUAAAGAAAAUCUUUCUUCCAUACACACAGAUACAUAAUACGAUUACAGGGAGGUCAAUACAAUUAAUUAAAGAAGAUGUAAAGAAUAUGUUGUUACAAGAAACUGAGGACAAGGAAAGAAUUUCAAACCACUGUCAACUAUACAAUGGUGAACAUUUGUUCCCAAAAAGUAGUUUGUGUGCCAGAACAAUAACAGCUGUACUGGACCCACCUUUUAUCUACACAAAGUGGGGAGCUAUGGUCCUAUUGGAAACAAUGAAGACAGAAAACCAAAACAAUAGCAAAAGGGGAAUUAAUAUAAGCAAUCUGGUAAUGCAAACUACCAAAGACAUCUUUAUGUUCUAACCAGAAAUCGCAGGAAAACUCAUAUCUGAGCGCCCUAUCUAAUGACAAGAGUGAGCAAGCCAUGGCCUUUCUCCCUUUCAUAUUUUUAAGUACUUUACAGAAACAAGAAUCUCAGAUUGCUUUAUCCAUGAUUUAUGAAAGGGUUUUCUAGGCGUAAUGUAUUAAGAAAUCAUUUAAAAGUAUUUUUAGCUCCUGACAAGUUUUUAUUAAAGUCCUCAAACUUCUUGGACUUAGAUCCCAAAGUGUAACUAGGCCAAACCUGAGCUGUAAAACUAUGACAAGGCAACAAUAACAGAUAUUUUCAUGGCCCAAGCACUAUAGCAAUAUACUAUUGAGUACAGAGAUCCAAAUUUAUUCAAACAGAUCAAGAGAGAAGGGAGAAAAAAAGUUAGAAAAGUGAUGAAGAAUCAACACCUCCCUUGUGUAUGCCAGCAUUUAUGGUUCUGCAGUAAGUCCUAAGAGGCAGUAUCCAAGUACCAAGGGGAGGAAAGGACUAAGGACAAGACAGGGAGAUAAACUAGCAUGGCAGGUGUAUGUAAGAGAAAAACUUAGACAUAAAAAUGUCCUGUAAUUUAAAAAAAAAGAUUUUUUUCAUUAUUUUUUCAUUCCAAUCAAAAGAGACAUCCAUGAAUGAUUCUCCUCUAAGGCUUCCAUAAAAGAGGUAAAACAAAAACGAAUAUAAACAUUGAAAGUUUGAAAAUAAAACAAAAGAAAAAGAACUUGUGUACGUUUCAGAGCAGGAGCACUGAAAAAUGAACUAAAUCUGGUCAAGAUGAAACCUAGAGUGAGAAGUAGGAACUAGAAUUAAGAGCUGCAAGAGAUAGGCAGGUGAGCAGUGACAGGAACAUGGCCAGGCCUGAGAGAUAAGACUGGUCCUUUACAAGGGCACAGAAUGAGGUAAGAAAACAUUUCAAAUAAAGCAGCACCUUUCCUUUAUGCUCACCUCAGUAAUCCCAUCCUCUAAUAACCCCCAUUUACAUACUAAAAUAGAAGAGUUGUGGUAUGUAUAUCACUCACUUCCCAUUUACUUUUAACCCUGCCUCCAAAGUCAGGAAGUCCAAACUUUCUAACUUCCAAGAACAAAAAUACAGCCCCAGGUAUAAGGGGGUCCUGAGGGCCAAGUGACAAACUGCAAUAUGUGAGAGUAGAGAAUAUGGAAAUUUCUCAUUCAACAUAGCAGAAGUUUGAUGGCCCAAGCUAAGAAAGGAAAAGGCAACCAUAUCAGGUAAACAAGGUCUGCUUCUCAUAACAUUAAACUCAUUUAUAUUAUUCUUUCCUUUAAAAAAGAAAUACUUUAUUUGGGCUUAUAAUCCAGAAUAUCAGAGUCAGUGAUGGAUGAUAUCAGAGUAAAGAUAAACAGGCAGAGGUUGCUGAAAGAUUACAUCUCAGACCAUAAGCAGAAGGUGGAGAAAACUAGAUUGAAAUAGCUUCAGUCUUUUGAAACCUCAAAGCCUACCCCUAACAACAUACCUCCUGCAACGAGGAAAUACCACUUAGUGAGAUUGCAAUUUUUGGGCAUUUACAUUAUUCUUAACUACACUUAGUCAAAUCACUUCCCAGCUCAAUCUUCAUUUUGAAUGAAGCUGAUUUUCCUGCAAAGUGGCUGUACCAUCUUCUCUUCCUAAUAUUGGCUUUCAUCAUGUGUAUAACAGAUGAUUCUGGAUGCAUAGGGGAUGUUUUUAUUCCUAUGUAUCAUUCCAUUUAUGUACUACAUGUGUACUGACAUUUCAAUGAGUUUCAUUUGGAAAAGGUAUAAAUGGUUGAUCUUAUAUAUACGGUUUCAACCUCUAUUAACAUCUUUUAGAAAAUAUCAAAUAUCCAUUCUUGAUUAAUAAUUUCUUCUCUCAUAAGAUAAAAAAAUAAAAUUUUACUCUAAUCAAAAUAAUUAUCUAUAUUUUCAUACUGAAAAAUGCAGAAGAAUAUUAAGAUAAUGUGGAAUAUUAAAUCAGCUGAAAUGCAUGUUCAUUAAUUAAGAAUAACCAGAAUCAUUGAUAUGUUUUUGGAACAUAAUAUACGAACAAAUACCAAAGCAUUGAAUAAAUAGUGUCAGAAGACGAGAGUCAUUAUAUAAAAUGUACCUUACCUUCAGAUCCAGUGUUUUUGUUCAUGUAGCAAGAAUUCAAUUUACCUACUCUUCCUCAGUAUUUUUCAUCCUCUCAUUGACUCGAAUUUCAAAGCUGUAUCCUAUAACUAGCAUGAUUGUUAAAUUUCAAACCAAGAACAGUGCAUGUGUCAAUAAUUUUCCGCCUUUCCUUAUUUGUGUUUUAUUCUGUUCCCAAAGGCCAUGUUGUGUUGAAGUUAUGAAGAAUUUCUUGCUCCUUUGAUGAAAAUUUUCUGAAAGCAUAGAUUAUUCAUAUUUGUAAAAUACUAUUGAUAUGUUUAAUAGUACUGGAUAUUAUAGUUAAAAUCAUCUGGGUUAGGAAUUUUUGCAUGUAUAUCAUAACACACUAAAAUACUAAAGAUUAAAAGUAGAAGAGAUAGAAUUUAUUACAUGUUUUUACUCUUCUAGGGUUUGUAAGUUUACAAAAUCUGAGCAAAUGAUUUCUUUCUGUGAAAUUCACAUUCAUGAGCUAUUAUAUUCUAAUCAAACAGUGUGUCAGCACCAAUAAACUUGGAUUAAAUUCUAAUUGCAAUACAAAAUGUUUGUAGUAAGUAAAUGGGCAAAUAAUUUGUCUGAAUAUACUAAAUAAGCAUGUAGUAUAAUCAUAGGUUUGCUCUUAAUUAAAUAAGUACUCCCAGAUACACCUUGAAAAAAUACAGAUAGUAAUGUAAGUUUUUUUUUUAUAUAACAGCUAAUAAUGGUCUGAGUAAUGGUUUAAAUCAACAAACCAUGAACAGUAAGUAGGAAUGUCUAGUGAGUUAGAGGUUCUUUCAAGCAUCUUCAAGGGUCUAAAAUAAAUUCCUUUAUAAUUCUCCUAAAUCCACUUAUCAUGAAACAUUCCACAUCAGAGUAAAUAACACCAACAUCUUUUCAUUUUCUCAAAAAAAGUCAUUGGGUUUCUUUUCUUCCUACUCAACCCACCCUCAUUCUACUACCAAACACAACAAUUUCCAUCAUAGCUCUCUGAUAUGACUCUUUUUCAUUAUCAUUGACCCUACUUCCAGAUAGACUUCAAAAACAUCCUUAAAAUCAUUCUCUGUAUCAUAUCAUAAUUCAUAAGUAACCAGAGUCCCUUACUAUAUACAUUGUGAGUUAAACAAACUUAUUUAAAACUAUUCAAUGAUUUCUAAGACAUUUUCAGUAAAUAAAAAUUAUAUGUCUAACAUUGUUUCUAUAUUCCCAUAUGAGUCAUUGCCUGAGAUUCAGCUUUAUUUGGACCGUUCUUCUAUCUCUUAAUCAAUACAAACUACUCUCAUAUUUACUUUUUUGUAUAUGUCAAGGUCUUUGUCCUCUUAUCAUCCUUAUAUUUACUGUAAUUUUGCCCAAAAUAUAGAUCAAUUAUUUUUCAUCUAAUUUAACUUAAAUGUCACUUCCUCAUGACAAUCUCCAUGACCUUAUUUCUAAAAUAGAUUCUUCAACUACUUGCAUACUAUCAACUCCAACACACUGAUUUAUGCAUUCAUUUUUUUUCUUUUUUCUUGUACUAUAAUGCAAUCUUUAUAAAAGAAAGUUCAUAAUACUUUCUAUUCAUUCCUAAUCUAUACACUAUUAUGGACAUGGUACAUUAGUGGAGACUUAUUAUUUAUUACAUGAUUCAGUAAGUUGCAUAAAUAAACUUUAUACUAUUCUUCAUUUUAAUGAAUAUGCAUCCCGUGCAUUGGUUAGACCAUCAUGUAGUAAUUAUGUGAGUUCUUCAAUUCAGUGACCUAGUUGACAUUGCCUAAACAUUUUAAUUUGUCACAGAUAGUCUCUGUCAUAUUCAAAACAAUACUUUGUUCACUGAACAAUUAUCUCAGCUGGGAAUAUAUUUGAUAUGAAAGAAUGAGAUUCCUAAGUUUAAUUCACAGCAUCCAUGUGAAAAUGCCAGCUGCCAUAUGUUUGUGGUCCCAUCUCUGAAGAGACAGAGAGAUGAUGAUUCCUAGGCACUUACUUAUCAGGGAGUCAAAUUUCUUUUGUGAGCUGUUCCAGUGAAAGUUUAAAAACCAAGAGGACCCAGAGCUGUGUUCCCAGAGCUGAACCUGUACCUCAGCUCUCUGUCCCCAGAUCCAAUGAGGAAAUAGAUGGACUUCCAGGAGUGCUGACACACUCAAGAGCACAGGAAAGACUUUUUCUUCUCAGAGGUAACUUCCUGGAGUGCUCAGAACCCACGAAAAGAGGUGCAGUCUGUUACAGCAUACUUUUGUUUCUAUCUAUUCCAUAUAGCUGAAAUUUAUCCACAGUUCUUGGCACACAAGAUAAUUCAAGAGAGAACAACGGUCCCAUUACUGUUGACACACAGGCUAAGAGAGAAUUCAAGCCACUUUCAGAGACAGCAAAACCAGCUAACUCCAGAUGGUGAGGGGCAAGUAUAAUUCCCUAAGGAACAUAAACUGAUGUUACUAGACAUCAUCAGAAACCAGUUCUCCCACCAAAGCUAGCCCAGUCUACCCCUGACACACCAGAAAAGAGAUAGAAAAGUUUGUAGUUCAAAUCACUGAACAUGAUGAGGUUAAAGGAUUUUAAGAAGGACAUAAAUAACUCCAUCAAAGAAAUACAAGACAACAGAUGUAAAGAGAUAGAAGCCCUCAUAGAGGAAACCCAAAAAUCCCUUAACGAAUUACAUUACAACAUAACCAAGCUGCUGGAGGAAUUGAAAAAUCCAUCAGGAAGUAAAAAUGGAAACAGAAAACAACAACAACAACAACAAAAACAACAACAACAACAACAACAACAGCAAACCACACAAAGAUGAAAACUCUGAAUAUAGAAAACCUGGGAAAGAUAUUAGGAGUCAUAAACGCAAGCAUCAACCAACAGAAUAUAAAAUAUAGAAAAGAAUCUCAGGGGCAGAAGAUACCAUAGAAAACAGUAACACAAUUGUCCAAAAAUACAAAAGAAAAAACUCCUAACCCAAAACAUCCAGGAAAUCAUAGACAAAAUGAGAAGAUAAAACCUAAGGAUAAUAGGUAUAGAAGAGAAUGAAACUCCCACUUUGAAGGGUCAGUAAAUAUCUUCUACAAAAUUAUACUAGAAAUCUUCCCUAUCCUAAAGAAAGAGACAACCUUGCACGUACAAAAAGCAAAAAGAAUUCCAAAAAAAUUGGAGCAGAAAAGAAAUUUCUUCCAUCACAUAAUAGUUAAAAUAUAAAGUGCACAAAACAAAGAAAAAAAUGUUAAACGCAGUAAGGGAAAAAGGUCGAGUAACAUAAAAAGGGAGACCAAUCAGUAUUCCACACUUCUUAAAAUAGACUGUGAAAGCUAGCAAUCCUGGGCAUAUAUCACACAGAUCCUAAAUGAAAAAAAAUGUCAGCCCAGGCUACUGUAAAACCUCUCAACUACCAUAGAUGGAGAUUCCAAGAUAUGCCAUGUCAUGAGCAAAUUUACACAAUAUCUUUCCACAAAUCCAGUCCUACAAAAGAUGAUAGAUGGAAAAUUCCAGUACAAGGCAGGAAACUACACCCAGAAAAAGAAAGAACACAAUCUACUUUUAAAAAACACAAAAAAGAGAUAAAGUAGGUAGCCACAGAAACAUAAUUCGACAUUUAACAAGAAAAAUAAUAGACAAAACCAAUCAUUUUCCGAUAUCAUUAAACAUCAAAGGACUCAAAUACCUAUAAAACGACAAACACUAGAAGUCAACUGCCCUGGAAUAAAAACACUUUAUUCUUCCUCUGUCUGCAAUGGAGGGGUCAGAGACUUGGCCAUCUGAUGGACCAAAAUCUAGAAUUGACCUUGUGACUGAGGAGUGUCUCAAACAUUCAGCCUCUGCUGUAGUGUACCUGAAACUGAAUCCUUGUGAACAAGAAUCCAUAGAAGAUCCUCACUUUGUUUGUGGCUGACCAGAACUUGUUCCUCAAACCUUAUUGCAUAGCCAAUACAACUCUGACCACCAAAAAAUCUUCAAGAACAAUGGAUUGAGGUCCCUUGGCCAAUGAAUAAAAAUUCCAGCCUGGAUCCAAGGCCACUUAUCUAAGAUUCUCACCAGAAAGGCCAAUAUCCCUCACACCCAUACCUGUGCGGCUUAUAGUAAGUUUAAAUAGGGUUUAGAUCCAGUGACUUUGACACAAGAUUUCAGAAUAAAUCUCAGAUUGCUGUCAAGUCUGUAGUGGAGGCCUUGGAGAUAAGAAUUUUCUUGAGUUCUCUGAAAAUAUGGAGCCCUGGAGUGCUGGGACCAUAGUCUUCUAUAGAAGGUAAUCAGGAAUAGUCCCUUACUUUCAAACUGGUUUAAGAACUUUCUCCUUUCAAAAACAUUGGUAUUUUUUUCUGCUCAGGAUGAUUAGGCCUUAGAGUUACUCAUUUGACCAAAUGGUCUCUCAGAACCAUCCCUUUUGCUUGGGGCCCAUGGAAUAUUUUACCUCAGACCAUGGAGCAUUGAUCCCUCUGUUGAAGGUUCACUGAAAUCCAAAAGGAGGGAGCAAAUCCUGGAAUCUCAUGCUACUUCCUUGUGUAAGGUCACAUGAUAUGUUGUGAAGUCAUCAGUCUGGUGCUCAUUUCUUUUUGGUUGAAUAUAGUUUUUAGGAGGCAAUCAGGCUUAGGACACCCCCAACUUUUCUUGAAUCAUGGAAUCUAUAUUCAGUCUCUUGCAGAUUCAGCUAAAGAUGUGUAUAUGCUAGACUGUGAAGUACCAUUAGAAGAUGAAGCAAUGUAGGACCUCUUGAGCUAUUUUCAAGGUAGACUGGAGGUUCACUUGGGAUGCAAUGAAGAGCCCCUGACAAGCAUAUUCUUCAAAGCCUCCCAUGGUGUAACUGAAGAUACGAUAUGUGAAGUAGCCCUAGCUUGCCUGCUCAAGAGAUCAAGAAGUGGUCAGAAGAAUUUCAAGUACAAAUUCAGAUGGCUGGAAAGAGCCCAGUCUCUCUAACAGGCAUCUGCAGAUACUACCUUUUGAGGAAUGAAUCCUUCUCAGGAGACAAUAGACGGAACCUGCACUUCAAUGAUAAUUAAAUGGCACUUCAAGAUAUCAAAUCAAAAUAUCAAAGUGAGAAUGGAAUAAAUUUAUUAGUACA
Rattus norvegicus (Norway rat) is the source of this 9971-nucleotide non-coding RNA. NCBI's taxonomy places the organism in Eukaryota, Metazoa, Chordata, Mammalia, Rodentia, Muridae. The record is from RefSeq and is a predicted model, not a curated record.